RNAcentral lists this ribosomal RNA (353 nucleotides) under uncultured Thermovirga sp. Its description in RNAcentral is "bacterial SSU rRNA". It matches the Rfam family "Bacterial small subunit ribosomal RNA", at positions 1028 to 1382 of the family's 1533-position model. Lineage: Bacteria; Thermotogati; Synergistota; Synergistia; Synergistales; Thermovirgaceae. The record is from RNAcentral.
AGGGAGACAGGUGUGCAUGGUUGUCGUCAGCUCGUGUCGUGAGAUGUUGGGUUAAGUCCCGUAACGAGCGCAACCCUUGUCCUUAGUUACCAGCACGUUAUGGUGGGCACUCUGGAUGGACUGCCGGCGACAAGCCGGAGGAAGUGGGAUGACGUCAAGUCAUCAUGGCCCUUAUGUCCAGGGCGACACACGUGCUACAAUGGCCGGCACAGCGGGAAGCGAGGGGGCGACCUUGAGCGGAUCCCUCAAAGCCGGUCUCAGUUCGGAUUGCAGUCUGCAACUCGACUGCAUGAAGUUGGAAUCGCUAGUAAUCGUGGAUCAGCCAAGCCGCGGUGAAUACGUUCCCGGGCCUU